This 460-nucleotide ribosomal RNA is filed under the name uncultured bacterium. RNAcentral's name for it is "partial 16S ribosomal RNA". It matches the Rfam family "Bacterial small subunit ribosomal RNA", at positions 338 to 795 of the family's 1533-position model. The record is from RNAcentral.
CCUACGGGUGACAGCAGUGAGGAAUAUUGGUGAAUGGGCGCGAGCCUGAACCAGCCAAGUAGCGUGAAGGAUGACUGCCCUACGGGCUGUAAACUUCUUUUAUAAAGGAAUAAAGUGAGGCACGUGUGCCAUAUGGUAUGUACUUUAUGAAUAAGGAUCGGCUAACUCCGUGCCAGCAGCCGCGGUAAUACGGAGGAUCCGAGCGUUGUCCGGAUUUAUUGGGUUUAAAGGGAGCGUAGAUGGGUUGUUAAGUCAGUUGUGAAAGUUUGCGGCUCAACCGUAAAAUUGCAAUUGUAACUGGCAGUCUUGAGUACAGUUGAGGUAGGCGGAAUUCGUGGUGUAGCGGUGAAAUGCUUAGAUAUCACGAAGAACUCCGAUUGCGAAGGCAGCUUACUAAACUGCCACUGACAUUGAUGCUCGAAAGUGUGGGUAUCAAACAGGAUUAGAUACCCCGGUAGUC